UAAAACGUAGGACGCAAGCGUUAUCCGGAAUUACUGGGCGUAAAGAGCGCGCAGGCGGUUUGACAAGUCACUUUUGAAAGCUCAUGGCUAAACUGUGAGAGGUGAGGUGAUACUGUUGAACUAGAGAUUGCUAGAGGUAUGUGGAAUUCCGCGUGUAGUGGUGAAAUGCGUAGAGAUGCGGAGGAACACCAGUGGCGAAGGCGGCAUACUGGGGCAAUACUGACGCUGAGGCGCGAAAGCAUGGGUAGCGAACGGG
This 256-nucleotide ribosomal RNA is filed under the name uncultured archaeon. Its description in RNAcentral is "partial 16S ribosomal RNA". It matches the Rfam family "Bacterial small subunit ribosomal RNA", at positions 521 to 776 of the family's 1533-position model. The record is from RNAcentral.